AGUGAACGCUAGCGGUAGGCCUAACACAUGCAAGUCGAACGGCAGCACAGUAAGAGCUUGCUCUUACGGGUGGCGAGUGGCGGACGGGUGAGGAAUACAUCGGAAUCUACUUUUUCGUGGGGGAUAACGUAGGGAAACUUACGCUAAUACCGCAUACGACCUACGGGUGAAAGCAGGGGAUCUUCGGACCUUGCGCGAUUGAAUGAGCCGAUGUCGGAUUAGCUAGUUGGCGGGGUAAAGGCCCACCAAGGCGACGAUCCGUAGCUGGUCUGAGAGGAUGAUCAGCCACACUGGAACUGAGACACGGUCCAGACUCCUACGGGAGGCAGCAGUGGGGAAUAUUGGACAAUGGGCGCAAGCCUGAUCCAGCCAUACCGCGUGGGUGAAGAAGGCCUUCGGGUUGUAAGGCCCUUUUGUUGGGAAAGAAAAGCAGCAGGUUAAUACCCCGCUGUUCUGACGGUACCCAAAGAAUAAGCACCGGCUAACUUCGUG
This 492-nucleotide ribosomal RNA is filed under the name uncultured bacterium. RNAcentral's name for it is "partial 16S ribosomal RNA". It matches the Rfam family "Bacterial small subunit ribosomal RNA", at positions 29 to 507 of the family's 1533-position model. The record is from RNAcentral.